GUCAUCAGAUACAUUUAUUGACUAUCAAGUAGAUACAUAUUUAUUGACUAUCAAAUAGAUACAUAAUUAUUAUGAAAGGUGACAGACGGUUACCAUACUAGAGUUGACACCCGACAUUCCCUUCUGACCUAUAUAAGGAAGCCCAAAAACUACAUACAAAGACAAUUGACAUACAAGGAAAUAAAGAAAAAUACAAACAUAGACGAAGAAUGAAAGUUUUGGAAUCUGAAAAUUUUCCAUCCCCUGAUAAACAGAAUAAUAAACAUGUCGGCACAGAACUCUAUGACACUGAAAGUAUAGCAGAUGGAAUCGGCCCAGCCUCUUGUGGAGAAUGUGGAUGGAAAUUUUAAUAGUCCCCUUCCUGUCACUAGUCUCACCGAAAGAGAUUACUAUUGUCACAAACAGCGAGACACAUGUGAAGUCCCCUGUUUCAAAUUUACUUUAUUUAGUCAAAAAAUGCAGUUUGAGUAGAAAGUAAUCUGAAAAAGGAACUAAGGAAAGUAGAGGUACAGAGUUGGAAAUGGAGCACGUGAAUUCAAUUUCAUGAAGUGUUCGUAUAUCUCCAACGUCUCCAUGAGUGAACAAUUCUCGACGGGCAUAAAACAAACUAACAAUCAAUCGUCUAUCUCCAUGAUCGAUAUUCAUUUAGUGUCAUCAUGACUUUACGGACUUCCGGUGUGAGUGAGCGGUGGACUGAGAGAGAUCUCGCAUCAUCAUUGAGCGCAGUCUUCUUGGCUUAAAAUCCCGAAAUUGGAACUUUCCUAUGUUGUCGUAAAGUAUUAACCCAGAAAAUGUUUGAAGUACAGAAAGUCAAAUUCAAAAAAUAGCUUUUGAUUGUAGUAGACAGCAAUGCUAUCUCUGAAGCAUUCAUCACAAGUUACUAACGACAAGAAUGGUAUAAGUCCUCUCACAGCAGUAAGAGAAUCAAAGACCUCAGUGUCGACUCGUCAAUGAUUUCCAACAAGGGGUGGGGGUAUAUACAUCAUCGUCUUAUAAAAUUUAAUUCUGAAUCUUUAGAGUAUGGUAAAACAAAAUGUACAUACUUAAGUAUUAUGCUUAACUAGAUAUCUAUAGAAUUUCCACUCAAAGUCAAUAAAAGCGUGCAAUCGAUGUCGCCGGCACUUUAUUAGAAAAUAAGCUAUACCAAAUCAUAUAUUUUGUGUGCUAUACAUUCAUGGACCCAUAGCCUCCCUAGGCAUGGUAUACUUUUUAUUUCCCCUUUACUUAUAAACUUGGUAGGAAGCGUAGAUACCCUAAUUUUGUAACGUACGUGACUGUCGCCGACUCAAUUUUUAAAAUUGAACAAGCAAAUAUAAAUAUCUGAGAGCGUGUUUUUAAAUUUUCUUUGCGUUAAUAUAAUUUGUAGUUCCUAAAUUUUCAUUCAAUAAAAGUUAAACAACUUUUGCCUAUGAUUUUAAGCAGUGGUGUAUAUAUUACUCCAUGUCGCCAGAUUAUAUUAUGUGAUCAUAGGGUCAAUUAAACACCCAAUGUAUGGUCAAAGAUUUCGUAUUAUCUUUAUGUUUUUGAUCUAUUUUGGCGCUAAAAUAUUCAAAACUGUGGAAAAAUAUUCAUCAAGCGAUAUUUGGAUGUGGCAUUGAGAAGAAGUCAUCAUAUUCUCAAAAUUUUGCAUUCUGAUUUUAGAAAUGUAACAUACGAUACAAUAAACUUUUUAUGAAAACGUAUUUGCAGAGCAAAUGUUACCGCUUUUAUGAAAAUCUCGUAGUGUACAGAGAAUGAAAAUAUAAACAUUUCUUUUGCAGAAGUCAUUGGUUGGUCUGAAAUUUGACAAACGUGUCAAGAUGUAACAUUCGUGAUGUAACAUUCGUUACCGAGAGAUUAAUUAAAAGGAAUGAUAGAACAAUUUCCGGCGUAUUUUUGCUCUCUCUCUGCAUGGUGUUGUAUACGACAUGAACGUCUACUAUGAACAUUUGAGUUUGAAAGUCAAUACGUGUUAAACUUUGUGAAUUAGGAUUAAUUUUCUCUUACAAAAUGGCGCUUGUGAGAGUAAAAGUACAGAAUAACUACCAUGAAAAAAAUGUAUUAAAACAUAAGAACCAUGAAAAAAUGUUUUAGAAAUAAUAUUAUAUCCUCCCCUUGUGGCAAUACUGAAAAGGUAGAAUGUCUGUAUAGGCAGUGAAAAUAAAGGUUUAACUACCGGUCAAAGGCUACCAUAAUGAUACAUGUAAGUUUUGUCUCUCAAAAUACUUAUAAGCAACUGGUCAUUUGAUUAAUUUUGUAUGACCUUUGACCUUGUGACUUGGAAUCCAAUGGGGGUCAUCUAUUCAUAAGGGGCACCAGUGUUUCAAGUUUGAUGUCUAUCAAGGAAAGAUUUCUCAACGGACAAUAGCGUAUGUCCAGAGUAGUUUAACCGUUGUCCUUUUGACCUCAAAAUUAAUAGGGGACAUCUAUGUCUUAAGGUUCACGUUAAAUAUUCAUUCAUAACACCGCGUGGUGGAUUAUACUGACAGUUUCUAUGGAAAGGUAUUCCAAAAUAAGCAACAAAAACAUAAGAUUCGGUAUACAUUUAAUCAAAAUGUUGGGAAAUUAAACAUUUUCUUUAUAUUAUUAUUGUAAACAGAUUGUUAGAAAUGGGUACAUAUGAUUCUUUCCAUUUUUUGAAUAGAAAUGAUGUGUUUAUAGUAAUGAAAGGAAAAAUAAGAAACAUACGUUACUUUCAUUGUUUAUUAUAAGAAAGAGCAAUCCAGGUUUCAAAAUAUGUGUCUGUUAUUUCUAUAAGAAUCAUGGGCAUUUAUAUAGCGAAACAUCAAUCUAUCACUUUUGUUUUAAUCGCACAUUUAUUGCAAAUUAAUAAAUUCAGAAGAAAAGACACAUUUGGUAAAAAAAAUUUGCUUGUCUACGUUAUAUUUCUAUUAAAAUUGGUAUUUCCAUUGAAUUAAGUGAUGUCGUUAUGAUUUUGCAACAUCAGUCGUAAAGAAUAACUGAUGGUGACAUCGUUUUGGCAUAAUAUUUUCAUGGAUGUACUGUUGCGUAAGUGUUGAAACAUACGUUACAUAAUUAUAGUGCUACUUCAUUUACAUACAAAAAAGCUAUCGUUCUAUAUCUAUUGCUAGUCUUUUGUUUUCAUGUUUCAUACAUAUUGAACUGUUCGAGAAUAUUUGUUCAUCAAUUUUAUUUUUUGCCAUUUCAAAGAUAUUGAAAGUGACAUCUAGUCGUUUAUUUUGCGCUCUUAAAAUCUUAUUGCUGACUUUUACAGCAGAUAAUUUCUUGUUGUGUUGAUUAAAUAUAUUCUUUCAA
Molecule: long non-coding RNA, 3255 nt
Organism: Ostrea edulis (European flat oyster)
Lineage: Eukaryota; Metazoa; Mollusca; Bivalvia; Ostreida; Ostreidae
Exons: 2
Source: RefSeq, a predicted model, not a curated record